RNAcentral lists this ribosomal RNA (522 nucleotides) under uncultured Ralstonia sp. RNAcentral's name for it is "bacterial SSU rRNA". It matches the Rfam family "Bacterial small subunit ribosomal RNA", at positions 30 to 535 of the family's 1533-position model. The record is from RNAcentral. Lineage: Bacteria; Pseudomonadati; Pseudomonadota; Betaproteobacteria; Burkholderiales; Burkholderiaceae.
AUUGAACGCUGGCGGCAUGCCUUACACAUGCAAGUCGAACGGCAGCAUGAUCUAGCUUGCUAGAUUGAUGGCGAGUGGCGAACGGGUGAGUAAUACAUCGGAACGUGCCCUGUAGUGGGGGAUAACUAGUCGAAAGAUUAGCUAAUACCGCAUACGACCUAAGGGUGAAAGUGGGGGACCGCAAGGCCUCAUGCUAUAGGAGCGGCCGAUGUCUGAUUAGCUAGUUGGUGGGGUAAAGGCCCACCAAGGCGACGAUCAGUAGCUGGUCUGAGAGGACGGUCAGCCACACUGGGACUGAGACACGGCCCAGACUCCUACGGGAGGCAGCAGUGGGGAUUUUUGUUUUAUGGGCGAAAGCCUGAUCCAGCAAUGUCUCGUGUGUGAAAGAAGGCCCCUCGGGUUGUAAAGCCCUUUUGUCCGGAAAAAAAACGGCUCUGGUUAAUACCUGGGGUCGAUGACGUACCCGAAACAUAAUGAUGGACUAAAUACGUGCAAACACCUCCGGUGUUAGGGGUGGGGUCG